RNAcentral lists this long non-coding RNA (624 nucleotides) under Androctonus crassicauda. The record is from RNAcentral. Lineage: Eukaryota; Metazoa; Arthropoda; Arachnida; Scorpiones; Buthidae.
UUCGAUUCCAGGUUCCAUACCUCCAAAUUUCUUCAGUAAAGAAUUUGGAGGUAUGACUGUGUGGUGAAGAACAUCAUUGGCUCAACUUCCACUUGUUGAACCAAUUCUGUUCACCACAUAGCCAUACCUUCAAAUUCAAAGUCAACCCACUACAUGUAUAAGCAUUCUGCCAAGAAUGCUGGAAUACCUCCACUAUUUAAUUACAUUUAUCAGAAAAACAAGAAAAGAAACCUCAUUAGAGGCUGGGUGGUCUAUGAAGGGCAUUUAAUAAAUGGCUUGCUCAUUAGUAUCCAGUAUAGUGGUCCACCACUAUACUGGAUACUAAUGAAUAAGCCAUUUAUAAGAAAGAUACUGGAGGAUAUUAAUGAGCAAGCCAUUCAUAAAAAAGAUACUGAAGGAUAUUAAUGUGCAAGCCAUAUAUACUGGAUACGAAAGAGCAAGCUAUUCAUAAAAAAGAUAUUGAAGGACACUUGGAAAACCUUCAAUAUCCUGUAUGCAGCAAAGAUUAUAGGUGAUUGGUGAACAGAUGUUGCUGACAAAACAAUAAAGAACAUCUGGAAGAAAGUUUGCCUUUUCUUCAUAGCUUAUUUAAGAUUCAGAUACUAUUACUAAAGGUGAUUCUCU